GACGAACGCUGGCGGCGUGCUUAACACAUGCAAGUCGAGCGGUAAGGCCCUUUCGGGGGUACACGAGCGGCGAACGGGUGAGUAACACGUGGGUGACCUGCCCUCAGCUCUGGGAUAAGCCUGGGAAACCGGGUCUAAUACCGGAUAUGACUCCAUGACGCACGUUGUGGGGUGGAAAGCCUUGUGCGGCUGAGGAUGGGCCCGCGGCCUAUCAGCUUGUUGGUGGGGUGAGGCCUACCAAGGCGACGACGGGUAGCCGGCCUGAGAGGGCGACCGGCCACACUGGGACUGAGACACGGCCCAGACUCCUACGGGAGGCAGCAGUGGGGAAUCUUGCGCAAUGGGCGAAAGCCUGACGCAGCGACGCCGCGUGAGGGA
RNAcentral lists this ribosomal RNA (378 nucleotides) under uncultured bacterium. RNAcentral describes it as "bacterial SSU rRNA". It matches the Rfam family "Bacterial small subunit ribosomal RNA", at positions 28 to 408 of the family's 1533-position model. The record is from RNAcentral.